This 29-nucleotide non-coding RNA is filed under the name Homo sapiens (human). The record is from RNAcentral. Lineage: Eukaryota; Metazoa; Chordata; Mammalia; Primates; Hominidae.
UAUACUGCUGAUGGGAAUGCAGUGGAACC